RNAcentral lists this ribosomal RNA (261 nucleotides) under uncultured archaeon. Its description in RNAcentral is "partial 16S ribosomal RNA". It matches the Rfam family "Archaeal small subunit ribosomal RNA", at positions 748 to 1009 of the family's 1478-position model. The record is from RNAcentral.
CAGCCCUAAACGAUGCGCGUUAGGUGUAUCGGUGACCACGAGUCACCGAGGUGCCGAAGGGAAACCGUGAAACGUGCCGCCUGGGAAGUACGGUCGCAAGGCUGAAACUUAAAGGAAUUGGCGGGGGAGCACAACAACGGGUGGAGCUUGCGGUUUAAUUGGAUUCAACGCCGGAAAUCUUACCGGGACCGACAGCAACAUGAAGGCCAGGCUGAAGACUUUGCCGGAUUAGCUGAGAGGAGGUGCAUGGCGUAGUCGUGU